This 1412-nucleotide ribosomal RNA is filed under the name metagenome. RNAcentral describes it as "bacterial LSU rRNA". It matches the Rfam family "Bacterial large subunit ribosomal RNA", at positions 1537 to 2925 of the family's 2925-position model. The record is from RNAcentral.
AAAAUCCGGAAAAUCAAGGCUGAGGCGUGAUGACGAGGCACUACGGUGCUGAAGCAACAAAUGCCCUGCUUCCAGGAAAAGCCUCUAAGCAUCAGGUAACAUCAAAUCGUACCCCAAACCGACACAGGUGGUCAGGUAGAGAAUACCAAGGCGCUUGAGAGAACUCGGGUGAAGGAACUAGGCAAAAUGGUGCCGUAACUUCGGGAGAAGGCACGCUGAUAUGUAGGUGAAGCGACUUGCUCGUGGAGCUGAAAUCAGUCGAAGAUACCAGCUGGCUGCAACUGUUUAUUAAAAACACAGCACUGUGCAAACACGAAAGUGGACGUAUACGGUGUGACGCCUGCCCGGUGCCGGAAGGUUAAUUGAUGGGGUUAGCGCAAGCGAAGCUCUUGAUCGAAGCCCCGGUAAACGGCGGCCGUAACGAUAACGGUCCUAAGGUAGCGAAAUUCCUUGUCGGGUAAGUUCCGACCUGCACGAAUGGCGUAAUGAUGGCCAGGCUGUCUCCACCCGAGACUCAGUGAAAUUGAACUCGCUGUGAAGAUGCAGUGUACCCGCGGCAAGACGGAAAGACCCCGUGAACCUUUACUAUAGCUUGACACUGAACAUUGAGCCUUGAUGUGUAGGAUAGGUGGGAGGCUUAGAAGUGUGGACGCCAGUCUGCAUGGAGCCGACCUUGAAAUACCACCCUUUAAUGUUUGAUGUUCUAACGUUGACCCGUAAUCCGGGUUGCGGACAGUGUCUGGUGGGUAGUUUGACUGGGGCGGUCUCCUCCUAAAGAGUAACGGAGGAGCACGAAGGUUGGCUAAUCCUGGUCGGACAUCAGGAGGUUAGUGCAAUGGCAUAAGCCAGCUUGACUGCGAGCGUGACGGCGCGAGCAGGUGCGAAAGCAGGUCAUAGUGAUCCGGUGGUUCUGAAUGGAAGGGCCAUCGCUCAACGGAUAAAAGGUACUCCGGGGAUAACAGGCUGAUACCGCCCAAGAGUUCAUAUCGACGGCGGUGGUUGGCACCUCGAUGUCGGCUCAUCACAUCCUGGGGCUGAAGUAGGUCCCAAGGGUAUGGCUGUUCGCCAUUUAAAGUGGUACGCGAGCUGGGUUUAGAACGUCGUGAGACAGUUCGGUCCCUAUCUGCCGUGGGCGCUGGAGAACUGAGGGGGGCUGCUCCUAGUACGAGAGGACGGGAGUGGACGCAUCACUGGUGUUCGGGUUGUCAUGCCAAUGGCACUGCCCGGUAGCUAAAUGCGGAAGAGAUAAGUGCUGAAAGCAUCUAAGCACGAAACUUGCCCCGAGAUGAGUUCUCCCUGACCCUUUAAGGGUCCUGAAGGAACGUUGAAGACGACGACGUUGAUAGGCCGGGUGUGUAAGCGCAGCGAUGCGCUGAGCUAACCGGUACUAAUGAACCGUGAGGCUUAACCUU